ACCGGAGCUUGCUCCACCGGGAAAAGAGGAGUGGCGAACGGGUGAGUAACACGUGGGUAACCUGCCCAUCAGAAGGGGAUAACACUUGGAAACAGGUGCUAAUACCGUAUAACAAUCGAAACCGCAUGGUUUCGUUUUGAAAGGCGCUUUACGGUGCCGCUGAUGGAUGGACCCGCGGUGCAUUAGCUAGUUGGUGAGGUAACGGCUCACCAAGGCCACGAUGCAUAGCCGACCUGAGAGGGUGAUCGGCCACAUUGGGACUGAGACACGGCCCAAACUCCUACGGGAGGCAGCAGUAGGGAAUCUUCGGCAAUGGACGAAAGUCUGACCGAGCAACGCCGCGUGAGUGAAGAAGGUUUUCGGAUCGUAAAACUCUGUUGUUAGAGAAGAACAAGGGUGAGAGUAACUGUUCACCCCUUGACGGUAUCUAACCAGAAAGCCACGGCUAACUACGUGCCAGCAGCCGCGGUAAUACGUAGGUGGCAAGCGUUGUCCGGAUUUAUUGGGCGUAAAGCGAGCGCAGGCGGUUUCUUAAGUCUGAUGUGAAAGCCCCCGGCUCAACCGGGGAGGGUCAUUGGAAACUGGGAGACUUGAGUGCAGAAGAGGAGAGUGGAAUUCCAUGUGUAGCGGUGAAAUGCGUAGAUAUAUGGAGGAACACCAGUGGCGAAGGCGGCUCUCUGGUCUGUAACUGACGCUGAGGCUCGAAAGCGUGGGGAGCANACAGGAUUAGAUACCCUGGUAGUCCACGCCGUAAACGAUGAGUGCUAAGUGUUGGAGGGUUUCCGCCCUUCAGUGCUGCAGCUAACGCAUUAAGCACUCCGCCUGGCGAGUACGACCGCAAGGUUGAAACUCAAAGGAAUUGACGGNGGCCCGCACAAGCG
Molecule: ribosomal RNA, 881 nt
Filed under: Enterococcus mundtii
Lineage: Bacteria; Bacillati; Bacillota; Bacilli; Lactobacillales; Enterococcaceae
Description: bacterial SSU rRNA
Rfam family: Bacterial small subunit ribosomal RNA
Source: RNAcentral